CUACCGGAACGGCAGCCGCUGACAGCUCCUAUGGGGGUUGAGGUCUGGGCCAAGUGUUGGAUCUGAGAGACAGGAUGUCUCAGGAACACAGCAUUCAACAACUAUCUCAAGAGGUACUAACUGCUAAGUGGCUAAAAUACAACGAUGCGGCAACAGAUCCACCGGCAAAGCUCAACAUCCAGUAAGUCCUCCCUCGCAAUGCAUCUUUGCCAGCAACCCUUCCUUUCACAAGCCGAGGAUUCCGCUGGCCACGAGGGCCCCACGGGCUGAGGG
Long non-coding RNA from Meleagris gallopavo (turkey), 273 nucleotides. RefSeq lists it as uncharacterized. The record is from RefSeq and is a predicted model, not a curated record. NCBI's taxonomy places the organism in Eukaryota, Metazoa, Chordata, Aves, Galliformes, Phasianidae.